Long non-coding RNA from Juglans microcarpa x Juglans regia, 179 nucleotides. RefSeq lists it as uncharacterized. Lineage: Eukaryota; Viridiplantae; Streptophyta; Magnoliopsida; Fagales; Juglandaceae. The transcript has 3 exons. The record is from RefSeq and is a predicted model, not a curated record.
UCUCUUAAACUUUUCAUCCCUUUGUAAUUGGAGUGUUUGGUCUGUAAAUUUUUGAGUGAACCCGAGUGGUUGUGUGGCUUUGCUGAGUGCUUUUGAUUCUAAAAUUUGUGAGUUUUGGGUGUUAAAUCCGAGAGCUUGAGAUUUUGUUGUGCUUGGUUUUUAUUCUAAAAUUCUGAAAA